RNAcentral lists this transfer RNA (560 nucleotides) under Oscillatoria sp. PCC 10016. RNAcentral describes it as "partial 16S-23S ribosomal RNA intergenic spacer". The stretch from base 284 to 356 matches the Rfam family "tRNA". The record is from RNAcentral. Lineage: Bacteria; Bacillati; Cyanobacteriota; Cyanophyceae; Oscillatoriales; Oscillatoriaceae. RNAcentral also lists the same sequence under 1 other name.
UAGGGAGACCAUCUGAUAGUAGACCGAACCUAAACAAUAGGUCAAUAUCAGUCAUCCCUGGUCGUUCGAGGAAUAGAUGUCAAAGCUUUCAAACUAUUAACUGGUUCGGAACUCGCGGGCUAUUAGCUCAGUUGGUUAGAGCGCACCCCUGAUAAGGGUGAGGUCCCUGGUUCAAAUCCAGGAUGGCCCACCUGGAAAAAAAGUGAUGAAUUGUCAGUAAUGAGUAAUGGAUAAUCAAUGAUUAAUUCAAGACUCAUAAAAUCCAAAUCAGAACUACAAGUGUGGGGGUAUAGCUCAGUUGGUAGAGCGCCUGCCUUGCACGCAGGAAGUCAGCGGUUCGAGUCCGCUUACCUCCACUCUCACUAACUAGAACCUACAAAAAAACAAAAAGAGAUAGAAAUCAGCACCCAGACUAGCUAGGUGAAACCAGAAGUCGGAAUGCUGGAGUCUAGAACUCUAGUCAGAACCUUGAAAACUGCAUAGAAAUUAAGUCAUCAAAGCGUGUCAGUCAUCCGAGCAAUCGGAGGAUAUGACAAGCGACCACCAUCAAAAAAUCAAGU